Molecule: ribosomal RNA, 513 nt
Filed under: uncultured bacterium
Lineage: Bacteria
Description: partial 16S ribosomal RNA
Rfam family: Bacterial small subunit ribosomal RNA
Source: RNAcentral
AUUGAACGCUGGCGGCAUGCCUAACACAUGCAAGUCGAACGGCAGCACAGUAAAGACUUCGGUCGUUAUGGGUGGCGAGUGGCGGACGGGUGAGUAACACGUAGGAAUCUGUCCUGGAGGGCGGGAUAACGCGAGGAAAUGCGGGCUUAUCCCGUAUGAUAUCGAGAGAUAAAACGCAGGGGACCAUUCGGGGGCUUGUGCGCUCGGCUGAGCCCACGUCGGAUUAGCUAAUUGAGGGGGUAAAGGCCUACCAAGGCGACGCUCCGUAGCUGGUCUGAGAGGAUGACGAGCCAAACUGGGACUGAGACACGGCCCAGACUCCUACGGGAGGCAGCAGUGAGGAAUCUUGGACAAUGGGGGAAACCCUGAUCCAGCGAUGGCGCGUGUGUGAAGAAGGCCUUCGGGUUGUAAAGCACUUUAGUUGGGGAAGAAAAGUAAUAAGUAAAUAAUUUAUUGCACUGACGGUACCCAAAGAAUGAGCACCUGCUAACUCUGUGCCAGCCGCCGCCGUAA